GUGUUCGCUUCGGCAGCACAUAUACUAAAAUUGGAACGAUACAGAGAAAAUUAGCAUGGCCCCUGCACAAGGAUGACACGCGAAUUCAUGAAGCAUUCCAUAUUUUU
Suncus etruscus (white-toothed pygmy shrew) is the source of this 107-nucleotide small nuclear RNA. Lineage: Eukaryota; Metazoa; Chordata; Mammalia; Eulipotyphla; Soricidae. The record is from RefSeq and is a predicted model, not a curated record.